RNAcentral lists this ribosomal RNA (608 nucleotides) under Penicillium simplicissimum. RNAcentral's name for it is "eukaryotic LSU rRNA". It matches the Rfam family "Eukaryotic large subunit ribosomal RNA", at positions 188 to 814 of the family's 3401-position model. Lineage: Eukaryota; Fungi; Ascomycota; Eurotiomycetes; Eurotiales; Aspergillaceae. The record is from RNAcentral.
CCCUGGAACGGGCCGUCAUAGAGGGUGAGAAUCCCGUCUGGGAUGGGGUGCCCGCGCCCGUGUGAAGCUCCUUCGACGAGUCGAGUUGUUUGGGAAUGCAGCUCUAAAUGGGUGGUAAAUUUCAUCUAAAGCUAAAUACUGGCCGGAGACCGAUAGCGCACAAGUAGAGUGAUCGAAAGAUGAAAAGCACUUUGAAAAGAGAGUUAAACAGCACGUGAAAUUGUUGAAAGGGAAGCGCUUGCGACCAGACUCGCCCGCGGGGUUCAGCCGGCAUUCGUGCCGGUGUACUUCCCCACGGGCGGGCCAGCGUCGGUUUGGGCGGCCGGUCAAAGGCCCUCGGAAUGUAACGCCCCCCGGGGCGUCUUAUAGCCGAGGGUGCCAUGCGGCCAGCCCGGACCGAGGAACGCGCUUCGGCUCGGACGCUGGCAUAAUGGUCGUAAGCGACCCGUCUUGAAACACGGACCAAGGAGUCUAACAUCUACGCGAGUGUUCGGGUGUCAAACCCGUGCGCGCAGUGAAAGCGAACGGAGGUGGGAACCCCCCGGGGUGCACCAUCGACCGAUCCUGAUGUCUUCGGAUGGAUUUGAGUAAGAGCGUAGCUGUUGGGA